GAUGAACGCUGGCGGCGUGCUUAACACAUGCAAGUCGAACGGAAAGGCUCCUGCUUGCAGGGGUACUCGAGUGGCGAACGGGUGAGUAACACGUGGGUGAUCUGCCCUGCACUUCGGGAUAAGCCUGGGAAACUGGGUCUAAUACCGGAUAGGACGAUGGUUUGGAUGCCAUUGUGGAAAGUUUUUCGGUGUGGGAUGAGCUCGCGGCCUAUCAGCUUGUUGGUGGGGUAAUGGCCUACCAAGGCGUCGACGGGUAGCCGGCCUGAGGGGGUGUACGGCCAAAUGGGGACUGAGAUACGGCCCAGACUCCUACGGGAGGCAGCAGUGGGGAAUAUUGCACAAUGGGCGCAAGCCUGAUGCAGCGACGCCGCGUGGGGGAUGACGGCCUUCGGGUUGUAAACUCCUUUCGCUAGGGACGAAGCGCAAGUGACGGUACCUGGAGAAGAAGCACCGGCUAACUACG
Molecule: ribosomal RNA, 463 nt
Filed under: uncultured bacterium
Lineage: Bacteria
Description: partial 16S ribosomal RNA
Rfam family: Bacterial small subunit ribosomal RNA
Source: RNAcentral